UGGCGGCGUUUGGAGAAGAUUACUGGACAGAUGAUUAUUACACAGAGUUUAUACAACAGCGGUGUCAGGACAGAGGGGGCAGCAGUAGCUGCGGGACGGUGUGAGGGCGAGGGGCCAUGGCCCUUGCUCUCCACCUCUCCCUCCUCCUCCUCCUGGCAGUGGCCCUGCACGCCAGGGCUGCCCAGGCUGCUCCGGUGCCAGCGCGGGGAGCAGAUGAGGGUGCUGGGAAUGCUUCUCCAGUAGAUUGGCUGCGUAAAGUUUUGGAGCCCUUGCAGCCUCCUGCAAGGGUGUCCGGAGGGAGGACUUUUCCAGAUCCUAAUCGGAUUGCUCAACACAAAGGUGGCUCCCAUCA
Long non-coding RNA from Empidonax traillii (willow flycatcher), 352 nucleotides. RefSeq lists it as uncharacterized. Lineage: Eukaryota; Metazoa; Chordata; Aves; Passeriformes; Tyrannidae. The record is from RefSeq and is a predicted model, not a curated record. The transcript has 5 exons.